UAACAAGGUUUCCGUAGGUGAACCUGCGGAAGGAUCAUUAAUGAAUGAACUUGGGCAAAGUUGUCGCUGGCCUCAGCAAUGGGGCAUGUGCACGCUUUGUUCAUCCACCCUUCACACCACUGUGCACUUCUCAUGGGUCGGGUUGCGUCUGAAAUAUGGCAAAGCCCUUCUCAUGUGUUUYAACCACACACUAUACAAGUUUUAGAAUGUAACAAUCAUGCAUCAAUGCAUAUAAUACAACUUUCAGCAACGGAUCUCUUGGCUCUCGCAUCGAUGAAGAACGCAGCGA
This 289-nucleotide unclassified non-coding RNA is filed under the name uncultured fungus. RNAcentral's name for it is "partial contains 18S rRNA, ITS1, 5.8S rRNA". Lineage: Eukaryota; Fungi. The record is from RNAcentral.